AGUGAACGCUGGCGGUAGGCCUAACACAUGCAAGUCGAACGGCAGCACAGGAGAGCUUGCUCUCUGGGUGGCGAGUGGCGGACGGGUGAGGAAUACAUCGGAAUCUACUUUUUCGUGGGGGAUAACGUAGGGAAACUUACGCUAAUACCGCAUACGACCUACGGGUGAAAGCAGGGGAUCUUCGGACCUUGCGCGAUUAAAUGAGCCGAUGUCGGAUUAGCUAGUUGGCGGGGUAAAGGCCCACCAGGGCGACGAUCCGUAGCUGGUCUGAGAGGAUAAGCGGCCUCACUGGAACUGAGACACGGUCCAGACUCCUACGGGAGGCAGCAGUGGGGAAUAUUGGACAAUGGGCGCAAGCCUGAUCCAGCCAUACCGCGUGGGUGAAGAAGGCCUUCGGGUUGUAAAGCCCUUUUGUUGGGAAAGAAAUCCAGCUGGUUAAUACCCGGUUGGGAUGACGGUACCCAAAGAAUAAGCACCGGCUAACUUCGUGCCAGCCGCCGCCGUAA
This 506-nucleotide ribosomal RNA is filed under the name uncultured bacterium. RNAcentral's name for it is "partial 16S ribosomal RNA". It matches the Rfam family "Bacterial small subunit ribosomal RNA", at positions 29 to 523 of the family's 1533-position model. The record is from RNAcentral.